GCCCGGGUGGCGGAAUUGGCAGACGCGACGGACUCAAAAUCCGUUUCCUUCGGGAGUGCGGGUUCGACCCCCGCCCCGGGUACCA
RNAcentral lists this transfer RNA (85 nucleotides) under Puniceicoccales bacterium. RNAcentral describes it as "tRNA-Leu". It matches the Rfam family "tRNA". Rfam says of the family: Transfer RNA (tRNA) molecules are approximately 80 nucleotides in length. Lineage: Bacteria; Pseudomonadati; Verrucomicrobiota; Opitutia; Puniceicoccales. The record is from RNAcentral. RNAcentral also lists the same sequence under 2 other names.